GACCUGGCCGCCCCGCUCUCCUCGCCGCUGCCCCAGUCCUCGCUCUGCAGCGGGGGCCGCCCGUCCAGAGAGAUGUUGAUUCAGGAAAGUAAACUGAGUAAUGGAGAAGGAAUACACCACCAGUCCUGAAACCGGUAGCCAACGAGGAGUGCGGCUUCAAGUUACAUUUGCCAAAGACAAACAGUACAUUCCACAUGGCACAGCCAGGGUCACAGGUAGGUCUGGGUUGCCAGAGAAGCACCAAGUCAACAAGUCAAGAAGGAGGGCCCUCUGAGAAUUCACCUCGUCAUUUACCAUCUGGAUGCUUUCCUGGACUUUAUGAUCUCCAGAAACCUCAUCAUUCCACAAGAUGAAAGUGACUCGGAAACUUACCUCCUCAGAUCAUCUCCCUCCCUGGCUGCAGGACUUCAUCAUGACCUGGCUUUGUUAUCUUCCCUCCCCCACCAUUUUCAGCUU
This is a long non-coding RNA of Vombatus ursinus (common wombat), 456 nucleotides long. RefSeq lists it as uncharacterized. The transcript is spliced from 3 exons. The record is from RefSeq and is a predicted model, not a curated record. Lineage: Eukaryota; Metazoa; Chordata; Mammalia; Diprotodontia; Vombatidae.